ACUGUUUACAUCUUUGCACCAUAUUUGCAUAAGCCUCUAUCAUUGCACAAGUUCAGCAGAUACCGGCACACUAUAGUAAUGUUUAUAAGGCAGACGAGCACGUAAUAAUCAUACAUUUUCAUUUAUUAAAAGGGGGGGGGUAUUUGGAACAGCUAAAUAGCAGCAGUGUAAAAUCAGAAACUGUGGAAAUUCAUGAGCUCACGUUUGCUGUAAUACUGUGACACAAAAGCACUGGUAAGCAAUAAGGACAGAUGGAAAAUAUCCUCUGUAUAUGCGUGUACCCUCAUGAGUCAAAGCAGCAGCAUUGAAAAGAGAGAUCCUUAAUUACAUGAAUAGUUUCUAGCACAGAUAUCUGGAUAUAAGAUACACAGACAUUACCAUUUAAAAGUUUGGGGUUUGUAAGAUUUUUUUUUUCUCAUGUUCACCAAGGCUGCAUCUAUUUGAUAAAAAAAAAGUAAUAUUAUGAAAUUAUUACAAUUUAAAAUACAAAUUGUAAAUGUUUUUUUGUUUUAAAUAUAGAUUAAAAUGACAUUUAUUUCUGUGAUUGCAAAGCUGAAUAUUCAGCAUCAUUACUCUAGUCUUCAAUGUUACACGAUCGUUCAGAAAUCAUUCUAAUAUGCUGAUUUGGUGCUCAAGAAACUUAUCAAUGUUGAAAAUAGUUAUGCUGCUUAUGUUUUUAUGGCAACUGUAAUGCAUUUUUUAGGAUCCUUUGAUUAGAAAAGAACAGCAUUUAUUUUAAGUAUUCUUUUUGUAUCAAUCUUAAGUCUCUACUGUCACUUUUGAUAAUUGUAAUGCAUUCUUGCUGAAAAACGUAUUCAUUAUUUAAAAAAUUGUACUGACCCCAAACUUUUAAACUGUAGUGUACAGUAUGCAGUCGUGCAGGUGAAUUACCAUUUACAUGUGUAUAUUUAUAAAAAAAGAAAGCCUGAUAAAUCCAUAAGACUAUUACAUCACUGCAAAGACAUUUGAGGAGAAAGCAUUUCUCUUCAUAACACCAUAAGCAUAUUGGC
This 1010-nucleotide long non-coding RNA is filed under the name Sinocyclocheilus grahami. RNAcentral's name for it is "lncRNA (ENSSGRG00000035434.1)". Lineage: Eukaryota; Metazoa; Chordata; Actinopteri; Cypriniformes; Cyprinidae. The record is from RNAcentral.